This 513-nucleotide ribosomal RNA is filed under the name uncultured bacterium. Its description in RNAcentral is "partial 16S ribosomal RNA". It matches the Rfam family "Bacterial small subunit ribosomal RNA", at positions 28 to 507 of the family's 1533-position model. The record is from RNAcentral.
GACGAACGCUGGCGGCGUGCUUAACACAUGCCAGUCGAACGAAAAGAGGGAAAGAGCUUGCUCUUUCCGGAAUUGAGUGGCAAACGGGUGAGUAACACGUAAACAACCUGCCUUCAGGAUGGGGACAACAGACGGAAACGACUGCUAAUACCGAAUAAGUUCCAAGGGCCGCAUGGCCCAUGGAAGAAAAGGUGGCCUCUACCUGUAAGCUAUCGCCUGAAGAGGGGUUUGCGUCUGAUUAGCUGGUUGGAGGGGUAACGGCCCACCAAGGCGACGAUCAGUAGCCGGUCUGAGAGGAUGAACGGCCACACUGGAACUGAGACACGGUCCAGACUCCUACGGGAGGCAGCAGUGGGGAAUCUUCCGCAAUGGGCGAAAGCCUGACGGAGCAACGCCGCGGGAGUGAUGACGGCCUUCGGGUUGUAAAACUCUGUGAUCCGGGACGAAAAGGCAGAGUGCGAAGAACAAACUGCAUUGACGGUACCGGAAAAGCAAGCCACGGCUAACUACGUG